RNAcentral lists this ribosomal RNA (119 nucleotides) under Lupinus angustifolius (narrow-leaved blue lupine). Lineage: Eukaryota; Viridiplantae; Streptophyta; Magnoliopsida; Fabales; Fabaceae. The record is from RNAcentral.
AGGUAAGAUCAUACCAGCACUAAUGCACCGGAUGCCUUGAGAACUCCGCCGUUAUUUGUGCCCAGGCGAGAGUAGUACUAGGAUGGGUGACCUCCUGGGAAAUCCUUAUGUUGCACCUC